UGACAAGCAUAAAUAAACAAAGAAUAGCUGUUGUGUGACAGCAGCAGGCAUUAGAAAGGAAGCCAACAGCAGGUCCUGUGAAUGCUGAGAUCACAUCUGUCCGUGUGACUAGUGGUCAGGGUUUGGCUUGAAUAAUCCAAAGAAAGAGAGGGCAGUAUUUUAACAGUCUCUUCAUGGUCUCAGAGAAGACUAUGAAAAUUCAUCAGAAGAAACCCAACCAGCCCACAACAUAUAUGCUAGCAAGAGAACAGCAUUAGAGUUCAACUGCAUCCCAAGGCCCUGAGCAGAAUUUCCCAUUGACCCACAAGGUUUCAUCAAGGGUCCAGGGCAGUCAGCUACCAGUGCCUACAUCUCAGCGCUGCUGUACUGAACUGAACAAGACAAAGCUAUUGUAUCACUCAAUGUAUGAAGAAAUGUAUGAAGAUAUAUAUGAAGAAACAGAGGUGAUUUUUUUUUGUUGUUGUUUUGUUUGUUUGUUUGUUUCUCCUCUUCUCUCUCCUCUUUCCUCUUCCUGGUAAGGUUAAUUUUUUUGUUGUUGUUGUCUUAUGAUAUAGUUUUGAUUAUUAAAAAUACAGAUUGUCUGAUUAAUUAUAAAUCAAUAGCCCAUUUAAAUUUGAAAUGAAGAAUUUCAGUCACUAAAAAAGAAAAUCUAGUCAUUCUGGUACAAACAUGGAAAAAAAAACAAUUAAAUAUUCCAAAAGUAUAGGUGAAAAUCACAUUUUUUCAAUUCCUUUUUAAGAAGUGUAUGCUUUGUAAUUCUUAAGUAGUAAUUUUCAUUUAGUCUCCAAAUAGCAUAGAACUUAAAUAAUAUUUCUACCCAGGCUCUCUGUACCAAAGGUAGUAGAGUGAUCUGCCUGAAUCUCUUCAACAUUACACCAUACAAUUUUUAGCGACUUUUAUGAUAUUUUUAGAAAUUGCUUCUGAUACUGUUAAGCUUCAGGUGAAGACAACUAAUCUUUACCACACCUAGAGGAUGUUUCCUGAAACUGGCCAGCCUCAAAUUGUGAUCUUGUUGUGUUUGAAGAGAAUAUCACAAGAUCUUGCUUGAUCUAGUCUGCAGACACAAGUUGAUGUAAGGAGACCUCAGCUUUGACUCAGCAGUGUGUGUGUAUGUGUACAUAGUUGAAUAUAUGUUUUAAUACAUUCAACUCAAGAAAUUAGUACUUAAAAAGAGUCAUCUCACAAAGCAAAUGAAGAAAAAUAUCACCCUUUAUUUCAUCAGCAAAGAAUGAUGGUAAGUGUCUGUCAUGCAAUAAAAGUUCUAACCUAGUUUCCUUCCA
This 1280-nucleotide long non-coding RNA is filed under the name Anas platyrhynchos platyrhynchos (common mallard). RNAcentral describes it as "lncRNA (ENSAPLG00000021283.1)". Lineage: Eukaryota; Metazoa; Chordata; Aves; Anseriformes; Anatidae. The record is from RNAcentral.